This 504-nucleotide ribosomal RNA is filed under the name uncultured bacterium. RNAcentral describes it as "partial 16S ribosomal RNA". It matches the Rfam family "Bacterial small subunit ribosomal RNA", at positions 30 to 523 of the family's 1533-position model. The record is from RNAcentral.
AUUGAACGCUGGCGGCAGGCCUAACACAUGCAAGUCGAACGGUAGCACAGAGAGCUUGCUCUCGGGUGACGAGUGGCGGACGGGUGAGUAAUGUCUGGGAAACUGCCUGAUGGAGGGGGAUAACUACUGGAAACGGUAGCUAAUACCGCAUAACGUCGCAAGACCAAAGAGGGGGACCUUCGGGCCUCUUGCCAUCAGAUGUGCCCAGAUGGGAUUAGCCAGUAGGUGGGGUAACGGCUCACCUAGGCGACGAUCCCUAGCUGGUCUGAGAGGAUGAACAGCCACACUGGAACUGAGACACGGUCCAGACUCCUACGGGAGUCAGCAGUGGGGAAUAUUGCACAAUGGGCGCAAGCCUGAUGCAGCCAUGCCGCGUGUAUGAAGAAGGCCUUCGGGUUGUAAAGUACUUUCAGCGGGGAGGAAGGCGAUAAGGUUAAUAACCUUGUCGAUUGACGUUACCCGCAGAAGAAGCACCGGCUAACUCCGUGCCAGCAGCCGCCGUAA